Molecule: ribosomal RNA, 468 nt
Filed under: uncultured bacterium
Lineage: Bacteria
Description: partial 16S ribosomal RNA
Rfam family: Bacterial small subunit ribosomal RNA
Source: RNAcentral
GACGAACGCUGGCGGCGUGCUUAACACAUGCAAGUCGAACGGAAAGGCCCUGCUUUUGUGGGGUGCUCGAGUGGCGAACGGGUGAGUAACACGUGAGUAACCUGCCCUUGACUUUGGGAUAACUUCAGGAAACUGGGGCUAAUACCGGAUAGGAGCUCCUGCUGCAUGGUGGGGGUUGGAAAGUUUCGGCGGUUGGGGAUGGACUCGCGGCUUAUCAGCUUGUUGGUGGGGUAGUGGCUUACCAAGGCUUUGACGGGUAGCCGGCCUGAGAGGGUGACCGGCGACAUGGGGACUGAGAGACGGCGCAGAGUCCUACGGGAGGCAGCAGUGGGGAAUAUUGCACAAUGGGAGGAAGCCUGAUGAAGAAACGCCGCGUGCGGGAUGACGGCCUUCGGGUUGUAAAACGCUUUCGCCUGUGACGCAGCGUGAGUGACGGUAAUGGGUAAAGAAGCACCGGCUAACUACGUG